CCUACGGGCGGCAGCAGUGGGGAAUAUUGGACAAUGGGGGGAACCCUGAUCCAGCCAUGCCGCGUGUGUGAAGAAGGCCCUCGGGUUGUAAAGCACUUUCAGUGAGGAAGAACGCCUGGUGGUUAAUACCCAUCAGGAAAGACAUCACUCACAGAAGAAGCACCGGCUAACUCCGUGCCAGCAGCCGCGGUAAUACGGAGGGUGCGAGCGUUAAUCGGAAUUACUGGGCGUAAAGCGCGCGUAGGUGGCUUGAUAAGCCGGUUGUGAAAGCCCCGGGCUCAACCUAGGAACGGCAUCCGGAACUGUCAAGCUAGAGUGCAGGAGAGGAAGGUAGAAUUCCCGGUGUAGCGGUGAAAUGCGUAGAGAUCGGGAGGAAUACCAGUGGCGAAGGCGGCCUUCUGGACUGACACUGACACUGAGGUGCGAAAGCGUGGGUAGCAAACAGGAUUAGAUACCCUUGUAGUC
RNAcentral lists this ribosomal RNA (465 nucleotides) under Vreelandella stevensii. RNAcentral's name for it is "partial 16S ribosomal RNA". It matches the Rfam family "Bacterial small subunit ribosomal RNA", at positions 338 to 795 of the family's 1533-position model. Lineage: Bacteria; Pseudomonadati; Pseudomonadota; Gammaproteobacteria; Oceanospirillales; Halomonadaceae. The record is from RNAcentral.